Molecule: ribosomal RNA, 497 nt
Filed under: uncultured bacterium
Lineage: Bacteria
Description: partial 16S ribosomal RNA
Rfam family: Bacterial small subunit ribosomal RNA
Source: RNAcentral
GAUGAACGCUGGCGGCGUGCCUAAUACAUGCAAGUAGAACGCUGAAGGAAGGAGCUUGCUCUUUCCGGAUGAGUUGCGAACGGGUGAGUAACGCGUAGGUAACCUGCCUGGUAGCGGGGGAUAACUAUUGGAAACGAUAGCUAAUACCGCAUAACAGUAGAUGUUGCAUGAUAUCUACUUAAAAGGUGCAAUUGCACCACUACCAGAUGGACCUGCGUUGUAUUAGCUAGUUGGUGAGGUAACGGCUCACCAAGGCGACGAUACAUAGCCGACCUGAGAGGGGGAUCGGCCACACUGGGACUGAGACACGGCCCAGACUCCUACGGGAGGCAGCAGUAGGGAAUCUUCGGCAAUGGACGGAAGUCUGACCGAGCAACGCCGCGGGAGUGAAGAAGGUUUUCGGAUCGUAAAGCUCUGUUGUAAGAGAAGAACGAGUGUGAGAGUGGAAAGUUCACACUGUGACGGUAUCUUACCAGAAAGGGACGGCUAACUACGUG